This 351-nucleotide ribosomal RNA is filed under the name uncultured bacterium. Its description in RNAcentral is "partial 16S ribosomal RNA". It matches the Rfam family "Bacterial small subunit ribosomal RNA", at positions 338 to 681 of the family's 1533-position model. The record is from RNAcentral.
CCUACGGGUGGCAGCAGUGGGGAAUAUUGCGCAAUGGGCGAAAGCCUGACGCAGCGACGCCGCGUGAGGGAUGAAGGUCUUCGGAUCGGAAACCUCUGUCAGCAGGGAAGAACGGUCACGGUGCUAAGCAGCAGUGAAUUGACGGUACCUGCAAAGGAAGCACCGGCUAACGCCGUGCCAGCAGCCGCGGUAAUACGGAGGGUGCGAGCGUUAAUCGGAAUUACUGGGCGGAAAGCGCUCGUAGGCGGUAUGUCAAGUCAAGGGUGAAAUCCCCGCGCUCAACGUGGGAACGGCCUUUGAAACUGGCAACCUGGCGUGUGUGAGAGGCUAGUGGACUUCCCGUUGUAGGCG